AACGAACGCUGGCGGCAUGCCUAACACAUGCAAGUCGAACGAGACCUUCGGGUCUAGUGGCGCACGGGUGCGUAACGCGUGGGAACCUGCCCUUAGGUUCGGAAUAACUCCCCGAAAGAGGUGCUAAUACCGGAUAAUGUCUUCGGACCAAAGAUUUAUCGCCUUUGGAUGGGCCCGCGUUGGAUUAGCUAGUUGGUAGGGUAAAAGCCUACCAAGGCGACGAUCCAUGGCUGGUCUGAGAGGAUGAUCAGCCACACUGGGACUGAGACACGGCCCAGACUCCUACGGGAGGCAGCAGUGGGGAAUAUUGGACAAUGGGCGAAAGCCUGAUCCAGCAAUGCCGCGUGAGUGAUGAAGGCCUUAGGGUUGUAAAGCUCUUUUACCCGGGAUGAUAAUGACAGUACCGGGAGAAUAAGCUCCGGCUAACUCCGUG
RNAcentral lists this ribosomal RNA (433 nucleotides) under uncultured bacterium. RNAcentral's name for it is "partial 16S ribosomal RNA". It matches the Rfam family "Bacterial small subunit ribosomal RNA", at positions 29 to 507 of the family's 1533-position model. The record is from RNAcentral.